This 820-nucleotide ribosomal RNA is filed under the name Rhizoclosmatium aurantiacum. RNAcentral describes it as "eukaryotic LSU rRNA". It matches the Rfam family "Eukaryotic large subunit ribosomal RNA", at positions 107 to 858 of the family's 3401-position model. RNAcentral also lists the same sequence under 1 other name. Lineage: Eukaryota; Fungi; Chytridiomycota; Chytridiomycetes; Chytridiales; Chytriomycetaceae. The record is from RNAcentral.
GCUCAAAUUUAAAAUCUCCCAGGUUCCCUGGGCGAAUUGUAGUUUCAAGAAACGAUUUCUGAGGUGGGCGCGGACCAAGUUUGCUGGAAGGCAACGCCGUAGAGGGUGAUAGCCCCGUAGGUCUCUGACUCCACUUCGUUUAUGAUUGCGUUUUCUAAGAGUCGUACAGUUUGAGAAUGCUGUGCUAAUUGGGAGGUAAAUAUCUUUAAAGCUAAAUACUGGCGUGAGUCCGAUAGCGAACAAGUACCGUGAGGGAAAGAUGAAAAGGACUUUGAAAAGAGAGUUAAAUAGUACGUGAAAUUGUCUAAAGUGAAACGUUUGAAUCCAGUAUCGGGGAAUGACGAUCAGACGAAAGUCGCACUCGUUGUUUUCUGUGUCAGCGACACUUUGGUUUCCAGUAAAAAGGUUUCCGGGAAUGUAGGUAUCUUUCGGGGUACUGUUAUAGCCUGAUGUCCAUUAUGCUGGGGGCCAGAGUGAUGAUCGCCACUGCCUUGGGGAAAGCUGCCGCCUCUGCGUAACCGUUUGUGGACAACUUGUUGAUCAUGAGCGAAUUGCGUGGGGCCCGGUAGUGUACCACUUUACAGUGUAGGUCGCUGAUGAAAUGGAUUUAAGCGACCCGUCUUGAAACACGGACCAAGGAGUUCUACAAAUGCGCGAGUCUUUGGGUGUUAAACCCGAGGGCGAAAUGAAAGUAAACGUAGGUGUGAUCCGCAAGGUGCAACAUCGACCGGACUGGAUUUUCUUGAAAGUUCUGAGUAAGAGCGCAUUUGCAGAGACCCGAAAGAUGGUGAACUAUACCUGAGUAGGGUGAAGUCAGAGG